Molecule: long non-coding RNA, 2049 nt
Organism: Coregonus clupeaformis (lake whitefish)
Lineage: Eukaryota; Metazoa; Chordata; Actinopteri; Salmoniformes; Salmonidae
Exons: 2
Source: RefSeq, a predicted model, not a curated record
UGUCGCCCCCACCUCUGUCCUCACCCCCAAACCGUGUCACCCAACACCUCCCACGUGCAUCAUCCAUAUUUAUUUUAUUUCAAUUUUGUUGAAAUAUGAUACAAAUAUUGUGGCAGAAAAUAUAAUGCCAACCACAAUAAAUGCUCCUGAAAGAUGGUUGCAGUUAUAUUUGAUAUGUAGAUGAUUCAAACCACUAACAUUUAUAUCAAGAAGAGUCAUUGCAUAAUAUUCAGUUGAAAUCAGCUGCUGAUAGUUGGAAAACCUUCCCGAUGUAGUCAAGAUCUAAGACACAAUCAAUUGCAUUUGCCAUGACGUGAACUAUAAAGUAUUUGUGGUGGGGAAGAACUGUCAAAUAUUAUAUGUCACAUUUUUGAAAGUUUUAAGACAGAAAUUAUUUCAGUUGGCUGUUUCUUAGGAUGUUCUCUUAAAGUCAUACUGUUGAAUCAUUCAGUGACUUCAAUAACCAGUUCAGUGGAGGUCAUGUUUGAACAAUAGGUCAUGUUUGCUUGGGUGAGUUUGAAUGUUGACAAAAGAGACUUAGACAAUAUGUUAAACAAAACACCUUUUAAAAUGCAAGCUGGAACGAUAGGUCAAAUAAACCAGCCAAAAUAAGGCCAAAAAACUUGCUUUGGGAUGGGUGUGUACGGGGGCAUGGAGGGGCGUCAAACGAGAUGUCAAACACCUGAUGUUGCAAAACUGUUUGGGCUCUGAUUAGAAGGGGUGGGGGCACAUCAUUAGGUCAGAGGCAAACGGGACCAGACCCAGAGCGUGAUAGAUAAGGCGGCCACAGCUCUGAUGUCAUCACCAUAUGCAAAUGAGCUGGUGGCCUUAAAGGAGACCUUUGCGAGCUGUCAGGAGUCUGUGAACAAUGUGGUGGUGUUGGAGACGUGCUGGCUGUCGUAAACCAGAGCAGCGUGGUGAUAGAAAACCUCCAACGCCCUUAAUUAACACUUUUUUCUUCAAGAGGAGAGAGUGAGGACAACGCAGACAGACCAGACGUGGAGGUUUAUUCAUUUAGGCAAAGUCAUCAUGGGACAUUGUUUGUUGGUCUUGUACCCUGGACAGGAUAUCAUCAUAUACUGUAAGUUCGUUAUGGUGACACUACAGUAUAGAUGAUGUACUAUCCAGGGUCUCAUUCCCCCUCCAGCUACUAUCAGCACACACACACGCACUGUUGACGGUUGGAAGCUAGAGGGUGGCAAUCUAACCGUUACCAUUACUUCGUUUUAGCAAUGGUAAGGGUUCUAUUGACGCCUCUCAAUGUCAUAGCUACAGUAGUACACACAUGGACAGAUGCUGCUGGCGGUUGGAAGCUAGAGGGUGGCGCUCAAACCGUUACCAUUACUGAGUUUUAGUAAUGGUAAGGGUUCUAAUGCUGCUUCUCAAUGUCACCUGGAGUUGCGUUAAAGGAAACUAAAAACUGGUGGACUGGUCUCUUGUCUUCCUUGUAAGAAGUCGCAUUUGAUUACAACACCUUAGUGAUACCAAGAACCAAAGUUGUGUUUAAGAGCUGAUUUUGAUAUUUUAAUUGUAAGAUGUUUGUUGACUUGUGAAAUAAAGUUUCAAAUGAAAAACCAAAGAAUGACUAUCAAUGUCUUGGUGUACAUCUCACUCGGAAGGUGAAAUACUGUACCAAGGUUACCACCUCAAUGGAUUGACAGGUUACACAUAUAAAAUUGUCUGAAAGCAUACAUAUUAUUAUUUGUUUUUUAUGUAUUUAUAAUUUCAUAUACUCCUUGCAGUGUACAGCUUUUUAAAAGCAGUUGGUUUGUCUAAUCGAAGAUUACCUCUAGCAUUCUGCACUAAACAUACGGUUGUUAGGAGUGUAACUGCGAGUGUAAUCAAUGGAGAGCAGCUGUUUCUGUACACAGUGAACAGAGACAUCCCAGCCCUCUCUCUCCCCCCUUCUUUCUUCUCACUGUCUCUCUCUCUUCAUUGAGACACCCCAGCCCUCACUCUCUUUAUCUCUCUCUCCCUCUCUGUGGCCUUGCUUUAGGCCACAGGGCAUACACUUGUUAUUCAUCAAGAUAGCCUGGAUAGUGACAGCGC